This 451-nucleotide ribosomal RNA is filed under the name uncultured bacterium. RNAcentral's name for it is "bacterial SSU rRNA". It matches the Rfam family "Bacterial small subunit ribosomal RNA", at positions 8 to 483 of the family's 1533-position model. The record is from RNAcentral.
AGAGUUUGAUCCUGGCUCAGAAUGAACGCUGGCGGCAGGCCUAACACAUGCAAGUCGAACGGCAGCACAGUGUGUAGCAAUACACAUGGGUGGCGAGUGGCGGACGGGUGAGUAACGCGUGGGAAUCUGCCCUAUAGUGGGGGACAACCCGACGAAAGUCGGGCUAAUACCGCAUACGCCCUACGGGGGAAAGGCUUCGGCCGCUAUUGGAUGAGCCCGCGUCGGAUUAGCUAGUUGGUGAGGUAAUGGCUCACCAAGGCGACGAUCCGUAGCUGGUCUGAGAGGACGAUCAGCCACACUGGGACUGAGACACGGCCCAGACUCCUACGGGAGGCAGCAGUGGGGAAUAUUGCACAAUGGGCGAAAGCCUGAUGCAGCAAUGCCGCGUGUGUGAAGAAGGCCUGCGGGUUGUAAAGCACUUUCGGUAGGGAAGAUAAUGACGGUACCUACU